AAAUACUUAUUACUCAGCGGUCCCAAAUUAAAGCCCAAGUCUUCUCAAUUCAGUUAUCAAUCCUAACUCCUAAGUCGCCUCUCCCUCCCAACUCCCAAGUCCUUCGCAUCCUCCACCACUCAGCCGUCCUCCGUCGUCCCUCGCGCCCUCCCUCCGCUGGAUUUCAAUUGGAACUCGCUUCGCACAAGUCCCUGGCCGCCGUUCGAAGUCUGCCGCAGCUCGAAGUCCCUGGCGGUUGCUGCUUCCACCACAGUUCAGGUUCAAUCGAGUUCGAAGUCCGCCAUCGUUGCUGCUUCCACCACAGUUCACCGGCCGCAGUUCAAUCGAGCAUUUGAUCCCUCCGAUUUCUUUCUUUCUCUCUCCAAAGAUUUAUGUGAAACACCCUAAAUUAGUAAUUUUUGUACUAGUGUCCCUAAUGAUAUCCGUGAUUAAAUUGUUUUAACACCGAUACCUUUGAAAUUAGGGUUUCUGUUUUUUUAUGGUUCGUGAAAUUAGGGAUUAGGACUUGCAGUGGCUAAUUUUGUUGAUUCUUAGUAAUUUUAUCACUUGAUCUUGAUGCCUGAAAACCCUAAUUUCGUGUACCAUUUUAUUUUGAUAAAGUAGAUUAAGAACUGACCUUGGAACGAAGUGCGAGUCAGCAGCGGCAGCAGGAAGCGCCGGCAAUGUUGGUGCAGCAGUAGCAACAGGAGAUCUAAAGAUAAGCCUAAUUCUUGCUUUCUCUCUCCUUGUUCUCAGAUCUAAAGGAAAUUCAUUAUAGUGGAUCAACUAGGUUACCUUAGAACUUUCGAUAUAAGUUUGACAUGGCCCCACCAACUGCAAUGAUUGCGGCGGCUCCUACCAUUGGAGGUCUGACUAUUAUCCUUUUCGCUGAACAUAGAUUUGUGUUUAUAACUACUGCUUCUUUUUUGUUUGCUUUAGUGUGGAAAGUUCGUAUCAAAUUACAUGCUUUCAUUGGGUAAGCUUAUUCAUCCACUUCUUAUUUGCUUUACUGGGCCUGAUGGAGUGUUUGCAGAUGGACGGUGGUUUUAUUUAUUUUUCUCAUUAUAUUUAUUAAGUCAAAUAACUUUGGAACUGAAAGAAAUUUUUGGUUUGUUCUUGUCUUUUGGUGUUUGUUUCUUGUUUGUGUCUUUUGUUUGUUGUAAGAAGGUUAUGUUGGGCUACUUGCCCCACUGCGCUGACAUUGGGUGUGAGCCGACUUCUGUAGCUUUAAUGUACAAGGAAGAACGAGUGCUCAGGUUGGGUUUUGUUCAUCUUUAACUAGCCCCUAAUGUGUGUUUCUGUAGUAUUUCUAAUUAAUCCCUGCAACUGCCUUGUACAUUAUCUAGUUAAGAUCAAUUAUAUCUAGAAAAUCUGAUGAAUAUGUGACCAAAGAAAAUCUUUUAAUUGAAAGGAUUCAUAUAUUUACUGAAAACGAAAUAGGAUGUGUGAUUUUAUCUUGAAAAAGUUCAAUAAGGAUGUGGGUCUUUCAUUUUGAGCAUCGAUGUACUUGGUGCUUCUAUAGAAAUAUGACAAUUUUGUACUCUAUACAACCCCGAUUACAACAGCUCCUGUUCCUGGGGGUUUUCCCAACAUUUUCCCCUUGACACCAGGGCAGGUAUGUGUAUCUUAAUUGUAUGGUUCAUGCUAUUGUUUGUUUUCUACCAUUAGGCCUUCAUGUUAUCUUGUUUGUGGAUGCAGCUUGGAACUCUUCCUGUCAUGCCUGUUCAAGCAAUGACUCAGCAGGCUACUCGGCAUGCUCGACGUGUUUAUGUAGGAGGAUUACCCCCAACAGCUAAUGAACAGGAAAAUGGUGGAACCCAUGUUAAAGAAAGCAGCUUAUUUGCAACUGCACGCACGACGCACCUGAUAAGUUGCACAUCUGGUUUAUCUGCUAGGGUCUUG
Molecule: RNA transcript, 1881 nt
Organism: Beta vulgaris subsp. vulgaris (sugar beet)
Lineage: Eukaryota; Viridiplantae; Streptophyta; Magnoliopsida; Caryophyllales; Amaranthaceae
Exons: 5
Source: RefSeq, a predicted model, not a curated record